Non-coding RNA from Pelobates cultripes (western spadefoot toad), 554 nucleotides. The record is from the annotation of a GenBank genome assembly. NCBI's taxonomy places the organism in Eukaryota, Metazoa, Chordata, Amphibia, Anura, Pelobatidae.
GGAUGUAGAAUGUGUGUGGUGGAUGCAGAGUUCGCGUGUUAAGUGGAUGCAGUGUGUGUUUAACGGAUGCAGUGUGUACAGUGGAUGCAGAUUGAGGUGUAUAUUAGAUGCAGAGUGUGUGUUUGUGUAGUGGAUGUAGUGUGUGUUUAUAGUGAAUGCAGAGUGUGUAUGUGUGUUUGUGUAGUGGAUGUAGUGUUUGUGUGUAUUAAAUGCGAUGUGUAUAGUGAAAAUGGAGUGUGUGUUUGUGUAGUGGAAGUAGUGUUUAGUGAAUACAGUGUGUGGAUGCAGAGUGUGUCUUUGUGUAGUCGAUGUAGUGUGUGUAUAGUGACUACAUAGUGUGUGUGUGUGUGUUUGUGUAGGCACUGCAGAGUGUGUGUUUGUGUAAGGAUGUAGUGUGUGUAGUGACUGCAGAGUGUAUAUUUGUGUAAGGAUGUAGUGUGUGUAAUUUUUAGUGAAUAUUGUGUAUAUAUGUUAGUGUAUAGUUUGUAUAAAUGUUAGUGAAUAGUGUGUGUAAAUGUUAGUGUAUAGUGUGUGUAAAUGCUAUUGAAUAGUGU